This 292-nucleotide ribosomal RNA is filed under the name uncultured bacterium. RNAcentral's name for it is "partial 16S ribosomal RNA". It matches the Rfam family "Bacterial small subunit ribosomal RNA", at positions 505 to 796 of the family's 1533-position model. The record is from RNAcentral.
GUGUCAGCCGCCGCGGUAAUACGGAGGGUGCGAGCGUUGUCCGGAAUCACUGGGCGUAAAGGGCGCGUAGGUGGCGCGCUAAGUCGGAUGUGAAAUCCCGGGGCUCAACUCCGGGGCUGCAUCCGAGACUGGCGUGCUCGAGCGUGGUAGAGGCGAGUGGAAUUCCCGGUGUAGCGGUGGAAUGCGUAGAGAUCGGGAAGAACACCGGUGGCGAAGGCGGCUCGCUGGGCCAUUGCUGACACUGAGGCGCGAAAGCGUGGGGAGCAAACAGGAUUAGAUACCCCGGUAGUCC